CAAAGCAAGUAAUGUUUUUGAAUUUAGAUCUUUGAGAAAUAAACCGGUUUAUAAAUUUUUGGAUUUCGUGACUUUUGUAGCAUUUUUAUGGGUGAAAAUUUAGAGGCUUAUUGGUAUGCUUGUUGUGAAUGUGUACAAGAGAUUGAGGUCAAUCGAAUGGCUAGAUCGAUACAUAUGAAGGUUUUUAUGGGCUAAGGUGUAGGGAUUUAGAGUUUUGAGGACCAGUAAGGUUUUCUUAGUUAUCUAGCAAUUUGCCAAUUGGAUUGGAGAGAUUUUUAGUUUUAUCAGUAGAAGACUUGUUUUUUUAUGUGUAAAUAAAAUUUGGAAGCAAUCAAAUAGUAGAAAAAGGAGAUAUUGGCACUGGAAGUUUGGCAUCAGAUUGGAGAAGGAGAGGCCAGCUGACAUCUGAGCGGAAUUUUGAGGUUAUCAACUAAUUGGUAAGUGUAAAUUUCUUCAAAAUUUGUGUGCUAGUUUCUAACUUAAAUUCCAAGAAGUGUGCAAAUUUUGAAUUAGAAUCAAUAGUUCAAUCUUUAUUUAUUUAAAUUUCAAAUCUGUGAUUAGGAUUUGGUUUGGAUUAGGGUUUGAUUAGGGUUUGGAUUAGGAUUUGGUUAGGAUAUGGUUUAGGAUUUAGGAUUUGAUUAAAGUUAGAAUUUGGUUAGGAUUUAGAAUUAGGAUUUGACUAAGGUUUGACUAGGGUUUGUUUAGGAUUUGGAAUUGAUUAGAAUUUGUUAGAGUUAAGAUUUGUCUAAGAUUUAAUUAGGAUAUGUUUAGGAUUUAGGGUUUGUCUAGGAUUUGAUUAAGGUUGGAUUAGGAUUAGGGUUUGGUUAGAAUUUAUGGUUUAUUUAGAUUUUUGUUAGGGUUUGAUUAAGUUUUCUUUAAUAUUCUUUUAUAUUUCUUUAGGAUUUCUUUGUGUUUCUUUUAUAACUUCAAU
Molecule: long non-coding RNA, 931 nt
Filed under: Physcomitrium patens
Lineage: Eukaryota; Viridiplantae; Streptophyta; Bryopsida; Funariales; Funariaceae
Description: long non-coding RNA (PPAT_LNC006254)
Source: RNAcentral